Molecule: ribosomal RNA, 470 nt
Filed under: uncultured bacterium
Lineage: Bacteria
Description: bacterial SSU rRNA
Rfam family: Bacterial small subunit ribosomal RNA
Source: RNAcentral
CGCUAUCAUCCUACGGGAGGCAGCAUGGGGAAUAUUGCACAAUGGGCGCAAGCCUGAUGCAGCCAUGCCGCGUGUAUGAAGAAGGCCUUCGGGUUGUAAAGUACUUUCAGCAGUGAGGAAGGUAGUGUAGUUAAUAGCUGCAUUAUUUGACGUUAGCGACAGAAGAAGCACCGGCUAACUCCGUGCCAGCAGCCGCGGUAAUACGGAGGGUGCGAGCGUUAAUCGGAAUUACUGGGCGUAAAGCGCAUGCAGGUGGUUUGUUAAGUCAGAUGUGAAAGCCCGGGGCUCAACCUCGGAAUAGCAUUUGAAACUGGCAGGCUAGAGUCUUGUAGAGGGGGUAGAAUUUCAGGUGUAGCGGUGAAAUGCGUAGAGAUCUGAAGGAAUACCAGUGGCGAAGGCGGCCCCCUGGACAAAGACUGACGCUCAGAUGCGAAAGCGUGGGGAGCAAACAGGAUUAGAUACCCUGGUAG